Molecule: ribosomal RNA, 200 nt
Filed under: uncultured bacterium
Lineage: Bacteria
Description: partial 16S ribosomal RNA
Rfam family: Bacterial small subunit ribosomal RNA
Source: RNAcentral
AGCGAACGUUUGCGGCGGGCCUAACACAUGCAAGUCGAACGGGCUAGCAAUAGUCAGUGGCGCACGGGUGCGUAACACGUGGGUAAUCAACCCUUCAGCUUGGGAUAACGCCUUGAAAGGGGCGCUAAUACCGGAUACGGCGCGAGAGACUUCGGUCUUUCACGAGAAAGGUUCGCAAGGACCACUGAGGGACGAGCCUG